AAAAAAAAAAAAAAGAAAGUCGGAAUAGUCAGUAAAUACAGGACCCACCAUGGGGCCUCCCUCUGGAAAAUGGUGAAGGAAAUUGAAAUCAGCCAGCACACCAAGUACACUUGCUCUUUCUGUGGCAAAACCAAGAUGAAGAGACGAGCUGUGAAAAUCAGGCACUGUAAUUCCUGCAUGAAGACAGUGGCUGGCAGUGCCUGGACCUACAACACCACUUCGGCUGUCAUGGUGAAGUCUGCCAUCAGAAGACUGAAGGAAUUGAAAGACCAGUAG
This 276-nucleotide long non-coding RNA is filed under the name Homo sapiens (human). RNAcentral describes it as "non-protein coding lnc-FDXACB1-2:1". Lineage: Eukaryota; Metazoa; Chordata; Mammalia; Primates; Hominidae. The record is from RNAcentral.